AAUUGAACGCUGGCGGCAAUGCCUUACACAAUGCAAGUCGAACGUGAAAGCGGGGCAACCCGCAAGUAGAGUGGCGGACGGGUGAGUAAUACAUCGGAACGUGUCCAGUAAUGGGGGAUAACCUAGCGAAAGUUAGGCUAAUACCGCAUACGAUCUGCGGAUGAAAGCGGGGGAUGCGGCACUAAAGGCUUUGGCGAAGGUGGCCAAAGGUGAGUCAAGAGUCUUUAGUGCUGCACCUCGCGUUAUUGGAGCGGCUGAUGUCU
This 263-nucleotide ribosomal RNA is filed under the name uncultured bacterium. Its description in RNAcentral is "partial 16S ribosomal RNA". It matches the Rfam family "Bacterial small subunit ribosomal RNA", at positions 30 to 238 of the family's 1533-position model. The record is from RNAcentral.